This 492-nucleotide ribosomal RNA is filed under the name Centipeda noxia. Its description in RNAcentral is "bacterial SSU rRNA". It matches the Rfam family "Bacterial small subunit ribosomal RNA", at positions 28 to 493 of the family's 1533-position model. The record is from RNAcentral. Lineage: Bacteria; Bacillati; Bacillota; Negativicutes; Selenomonadales; Selenomonadaceae.
GACGAACGCUGGCGGCGUGCUUAACACAUGCAAGUCGAACGGAGCGAAUGAAAGCUUGCUUUUAUAAGCUUAGUGGCAAACGGGUGAGUAACACGUAGGCAACCUGCCGACAGGAUGGGGACAACAUUCCGAAAGGAAUGCUAAUACCGAAUGAAGUCGAGGGAGGGCAUCCUCCUCCGAUGAAAGAUGGCCUCUAUAUAUAAGCUAUCACCUGUCGAUGGGCCUGCGUCUGAUUAGCUGGUAGGUGAGGUAACGGCUCACCUAGGCGACGAUCAGUAGCCGGUCUGAGAGGAUGAACGGCCACAUUGGGACUGAGACACGGCCCAGACUCCUACGGGAGGCAGCAGUGGGGAAUCUUCCGCAAUGGGCGCAAGCCUGACGGAGCAACGCCGCGUGAGUGAAGAAGGUCUUCGGAUCGUAAAGCUCUGUUGAUGGGGACGAACGUGCCUAAUGCGAAUAGUAUUAGGUAAUGACGGACCCAUCGAGAAGCCA